Molecule: transfer RNA, 68 nt
Filed under: Ictidomys tridecemlineatus (thirteen-lined ground squirrel)
Lineage: Eukaryota; Metazoa; Chordata; Mammalia; Rodentia; Sciuridae
Description: Spermophilus tridecemlineatus (thirteen-lined ground squirrel) tRNA
Rfam family: tRNA
About the family: Transfer RNA (tRNA) molecules are approximately 80 nucleotides in length.
Source: Rfam by way of RNAcentral
GGAGUUGUGGCUCAGUGGUAGAGCACUUGCCUGGCAUGCGUGCGGCCUGGGUUCGAUCCUUAGCACCA